UACGGAGGGCGCUAGCGUUAUUCGGAAUUACUGGGCGUAAAGCGUACGUAGGCGGCUUUGCAAGUUAGAGGUGAAAGCCUGGAGCUCAACUCCAGAACUGCCUUUAAAACUGCAUCGCUUGAAUCCAGGAGAGGUGAGUGGAAUUCCGAGUGUAGAGGUGAAAUUCGUAGAUAUUCGGAAGAACACCAGUGGCGAAGGCGGCUCACUGGACUGGUAUUGACGCUGAGGUACGAAAGCGUGGGGAGCAAACAGG
This 253-nucleotide ribosomal RNA is filed under the name uncultured bacterium. RNAcentral describes it as "partial 16S ribosomal RNA". It matches the Rfam family "Bacterial small subunit ribosomal RNA", at positions 524 to 776 of the family's 1533-position model. The record is from RNAcentral.